GACGAAGGUGGCGACCGUUGUUCGGAAUCACUGGGCAUAAAGAGCACGUAGGCGGCAAGGUAUGUCGGGUGUGAAAUCCCUCGGCCUAACCGAGGAAUUGCGCCCGAAACUACCUUGCUUGAGGAUGGAAGGGGAGCGUGGAAUUCCUGGUGGAGCGGUGAAAUGCGUUGAUAUCAGGAGGAACACCGGCGGCGAAGGCGACGCUCUGGUCCAUUACUGACGCUGAGGUGCGAAAGCCAGGGGAGCAAACGGG
This 253-nucleotide ribosomal RNA is filed under the name uncultured bacterium. RNAcentral describes it as "partial 16S ribosomal RNA". It matches the Rfam family "Bacterial small subunit ribosomal RNA", at positions 524 to 776 of the family's 1533-position model. The record is from RNAcentral.